Molecule: unclassified non-coding RNA, 327 nt
Filed under: Hevea brasiliensis (rubber tree)
Lineage: Eukaryota; Viridiplantae; Streptophyta; Magnoliopsida; Malpighiales; Euphorbiaceae
Source: RNAcentral
GAAAGAUUGCUAAUUCUGCAGCCACACAAUUGGGCUCUAAGGAGAGACCAUGGAAUGAUGUUGUACUAUAGUAGGGAGUAUGAAGAGGCAGUUCAGGAGCUUAGCAUUUGCAUGGCCUUUGCCCCAGAAGAAGAAGCAGAGGUGUUGGAACCAUUUGUUGAGAAGCUACACUUGUUGCGAGUCGAAUCGUCUUGGAAGUCUCAGGGAAAGAAAGGCCAUUUAACUGUUUCUUGAACUGUUUCUGGUUUGUAGAGCCAUUGAGUUUGUAUUAAAGAGCACCACAACCAGUAGAACUUUAGCUGCAAUAUCUUUUUUUUUUUUGGGGGG